GAACGCUGGCGGCGUGCUUAACACAUGCAAGUCGAACGAUGAAAGAGGAGCUUGCUCCUCUGGAUUAGUGGCGAACGGGUGAGUAACACGUGAGCAAUGUGCCCUUGACUCUGGAAUAAGCGCUGGAAACGGCGUCUAAUACCGGAUACGACCUUCGGAGGCAUCUCCUGGGGGUGGAAAGAAUUUCGGUCAAGGAUCAGCUCACGGCCUAUCAGUUAGUUGGUGAGGUAACGGCUCACCAAGACGACGACGGGUAGCCGGCCUGAGAGGGUGACCGGCCACACUGGGACUGAGACACGGCCCAGACUCCUACGGGAGGCAGCAGUGGGGAAUAUUGCACAAUGGGCGCAAGCCUGAUGCAGCAACGCCGCGUGAGGGACGACGGCCUUCGGGUUGUAAACCUCUUUUAGCAGGGAAGAAGCGAAAGUGACGGUACCUGCAGAAAAAGCACCGGCUAACUACGUGCCAGCAGCCGCGGUAAUACGUAGGGUGCAAGCGUUGUCCGGAAUUAUUGGGCGUAAAGAGCUCGUAGGCGGUUUGUCACGUCUGCUGUGAAAUCCCGAGGCUCAACCUCGGGCUUGCAGUGGGUACGGGCAGACUAGAGUGCGGUAGGGGAGAUUGGAAUUCCUGGUGUAGCGGUGGAAUGCGCAGAUAUCAGGAGGAACACCGAUGGCGAAGGCAGAUCUCUGGGCCGUUACUGACGCUGAGGAGCGAAAGCAUGGGGAGCAAACAGGCUUAGAUACCCUGGUAGUCCAUGCCGUAAACGUUGGGAACUAGAUGUGGGGACCA
Molecule: ribosomal RNA, 789 nt
Filed under: Agrococcus jenensis
Lineage: Bacteria; Bacillati; Actinomycetota; Actinomycetes; Micrococcales; Microbacteriaceae
Description: bacterial SSU rRNA
Rfam family: Bacterial small subunit ribosomal RNA
Source: RNAcentral